AGAGUUUGAUCCUGGCUCAGGACGAACGCUAGCGACGUGCCUAAGAAAUGCAAGUCGAGCGAGGUUAGAGAGCUUGCUCUCGACGCCUAGCGGCGAACGGUCGCGUAACACGUAAGCAACCUGCCCUGAAGUUGGGGAUAGCCCUCCGAAAGGAGGAUUAAUACCGAAUGUGGACACUUUCCCGCAUGAGAGAGUGUCUGAAGCAGCAAUGCGCUUCAGGAUGGGCUUGCGGCCUAUCAGCUAGUUGGUGUGGUAACGGCAUACCAAGGCGACGACGGGUAGCUGGUCUGAGAGGAUGGUCAGCCGGACUGGGACUGAGAUACGGCCCAGACUCCUACGGGGGGCAGCAAUUAGGAAUCUUGCGCAAUGGGCGAAAGCCUGACGCAGCGACGUCGCGUGACCGAUGAAGUCUUUCGGGAUGUAAAGGUCUUUUCUGGGGGAAGAAGGAUGUGACGGUACCCCAGGAAUAAGCCCCGGCUAACUACGUGCCAGCAGCCGCGGUAAUACGUAGGGGGCGAGCGUUGUCCGAAUUCACUGGGCGUAAAGCGCGCGUAGGCGGAUAUUUAAGUUGUGGGUGAAAUCCCGGGGCUCAACCCCGGAACUGCCUGCAAAACUGGAUAUCUUGAGGUAUGAAGAGGGAAGUGGAAUUCCAGGUGUAGCGGUGAAACGCGUAGAUAUCUGGAGGAACACCCGUGGCGAAGGCGGCUUCCUGGUCAUAUCCUGACGCUGAGGUGCGAAAGCCAGGGGAGCGAACGGGAUUAGAUACCCCGGUAGUCCUGGCCGUAAACGAUGGAUACUAGGUGUUAGAGGUAUCGACCCCUCUAGUGCCGCAGCUAACGCAUUAAGUAUCCCGCCUGGGGAGUACGACCGCAAGGUUGAAACUCAAAUGAAUUGACGG
Molecule: ribosomal RNA, 898 nt
Filed under: uncultured bacterium
Lineage: Bacteria
Description: bacterial SSU rRNA
Rfam family: Bacterial small subunit ribosomal RNA
Source: RNAcentral